CCUACGGGUGGCAGCAGUGAGGAAUCUUUGUCAAUGGGCGAGAGCCUGAACCAGCCAAGCCGCGUGAAGGAUGACGGCCCUACGGGUUGUAAACUUCUUUUGUCAGGGAGCAAUUGGGUCCACGCGUGCGCUUAGCGAGAGUACCGGAAGAAAAAGCAUCGGCUAACUCCGUGCAAGCAGCCGCGGUAACACGGGGGAUGCGAGCGUUACCUGGAUUGUUUGGGUUAUAGGGGGGCGUAGGCGGAAUAUCAAGUCAGCGGUAAAAAUUCGGGGCUCAACCCCGUCGUGCAGUUGAAACUGAUGUUCUUGAGUGAGCGAGGAGUAUGCGGAAUGCGCGGUGUAGCAGUGAAAUGCAUAGAUAUCGCGAAGAACUCCGAUUGCGAAGGCAGGAUCCCGGAGACCAACUGACGCUGAGGCACGAAAGCGUGGGUAUCGAAAAGGAUUAGAUACCCUAGUAGUC
RNAcentral lists this ribosomal RNA (460 nucleotides) under uncultured bacterium. RNAcentral's name for it is "partial 16S ribosomal RNA". It matches the Rfam family "Bacterial small subunit ribosomal RNA", at positions 338 to 795 of the family's 1533-position model. The record is from RNAcentral.